GGGAACUACCAAAAGGAAACGUAGAUCUUUAGAAGAUGAAGAAUUAGAAGAAACAACUGCUUCGGAGUCAGAAUUUCCCUUAUCUUCUGUUCUUGACGGAGACAAUGUUGCCAGGGUUCUCCGUCAGCUGGCUAGCACUGCGGAGCAUUAUAAAAGGUUAACUGAUGAGCUUUAAAGAAAACUUUUUUAUAUAAAAAUAAUUUUAUAAAUGUGAGCAGUGUGACAGUGCCAAUAAUUAGUCAAAAAAAUGGAGGAAGAUGGGAGAAACUAAAAUCUGGAAACAUUAUGAAUGACUGAAAUCUUUAUUAUUUUAUGCACGAUUACGUUAAAUAUUAUUAAUAUUGUCAGAGGUCAGGAAAAGGCCUAAUCCAAAGACUUAGGGUCAUACAAAUCGUUGAGAUAAAACAAUUGUUUCGAUUUCCAUGAUUUCAGGUAGAUAUAAAGCGAUUAUAAUUUUAUACUACAGAGCUGAAAACUUUUGAAUGGGAUAUCCUUAAUCCUGAUCGGAUAAUUAAUCUGGAGAUUAAAAAUGAGA
Eurytemora carolleeae is the source of this 535-nucleotide long non-coding RNA. RefSeq lists it as uncharacterized. The record is from RefSeq and is a predicted model, not a curated record. The transcript is spliced from 3 exons. NCBI's taxonomy places the organism in Eukaryota, Metazoa, Arthropoda, Copepoda, Calanoida, Temoridae.